RNAcentral lists this ribosomal RNA (495 nucleotides) under uncultured bacterium. RNAcentral describes it as "partial 16S ribosomal RNA". It matches the Rfam family "Bacterial small subunit ribosomal RNA", at positions 28 to 507 of the family's 1533-position model. The record is from RNAcentral.
GACGAACGCUGGCGGCGUGCCUAAUACAUGCAAGUAGAACGCUGAAGGAGGAGCUUGCUUCUCUGGAUGAGUUGCGAACGGGUGAGUAACGCGUAGGUAACCUGCCUGGUAGCGGGGGAUAACUAUUGGAAACGAUAGCUAAUACCGCAUAAGAGUAGAUGUUGCAUGACAUUUGCUUAAAAGGUGCAAUUGCAUCACUACCAGAUGGACCUGCGUUGUAUUAGCUAGUUGGUGGGGUAACGGCUCACCAAGGCGACGAUACAUAGCCGACCUGAGAGGGUGAGCGGCCACACUGGGACGGAGACACGGCCCAGACUCCUACGGGAGGCAGCAGGAGGGAAUCUUCGGCAAUGGACGGAAGUCUGACCGAGCAACGCCGCGUGAGUGAAGAAGGUUGUCGGAUCGUAAAGCUCUGUUGUAAGAGAAGAACGAGUGUGAGAGUGGAAAGUUCACACUGUGACGGUAUCUUACCAGAAAGGGACGGCUAACUACGUG